CAGAGGUCCCGAGCGUUGUUCGGAUUCACUGGGCGUAAAGGGUGCGUAGGUGGUGAGGUAAGUCGGAUGUGAAAGCUCCGAGCUCAACUCGGAAAUGGCAUUGGAAACUACCUUGCUGGAGGGUUUGAGGGGGGACUGGAAUUCUCGGUGUAGCAGUGAAAUGCGUAGAUAUCGAGAGGAACACCAGUGGCGAAGGCGAGUCCCUGGAAAACACCUGACACUGAGGCACGAAAGCUAGGGGAGCAAACAGGAUUAGAUACCCUGGUAGUCCUAGCCGUAAACGGUGCGUAUUUGCUGUAAAAGGAAUCGACCCCUUUUGUGGCGUAGCCAACGCGUUAAAUACGCCGCCUGGGAAGUACGGUCGCAAGAUUAA
Molecule: ribosomal RNA, 373 nt
Filed under: uncultured organism
Description: bacterial SSU rRNA
Rfam family: Bacterial small subunit ribosomal RNA
Source: RNAcentral